RNAcentral lists this ribosomal RNA (253 nucleotides) under uncultured bacterium. RNAcentral describes it as "partial 16S ribosomal RNA". It matches the Rfam family "Bacterial small subunit ribosomal RNA", at positions 524 to 776 of the family's 1533-position model. The record is from RNAcentral.
UACAUGGGGUGCAAACGUUGCUCGGAAUUCUUGGGCGUAAAGCGCGCGUAGGCGGUUACUUAAGUCGGAUGUGAAAGCCCUCGGCUUAACUGAGGAAGUGCACCCGAAACUGAGUAGCUAGAGUACGAAAGAGGGUCGCGGAAUUCCCGGUGUAGAGGUGAAAUUCGUAGAUAUCAAGCAGAACACCUGCGGCGAAGGCGGCCUUCUGGACGAUGACUGACGCUGAGACGCGAAAGCGUGGGGAGCAAACAGG